Non-coding RNA from Ictidomys tridecemlineatus (thirteen-lined ground squirrel), 69 nucleotides. Lineage: Eukaryota; Metazoa; Chordata; Mammalia; Rodentia; Sciuridae. The record is from Rfam.
GGGGAUAUAGCUCAGUUGGUAGAGUGUUUGUCUGCAAGCACAAGGUCCUGGGUUCAAUCCCCAGCACCA